AGAGUUUGAUCAUGGCUCAGGAUGAACGCUGGCGGCGUGCCUAACACAUGCAAGUCGAGCGAUCUUCUUCGGAAGAGAGCGGCGGACGGGUGAGUAACGCGUGGGUAACCUGCCUCAUACACAUGGAUAACAUACCGAAAGGUAUGCUAAUACAAGAUGAUAUAAGAGAUUCGCAUGAAUUUCUUAUCAAAGCUCCGGCGGUAUGAGAUGGACCCGCGUCUGAUUAGCUAGUUGGUAAGGUAACGGCUCACCAAGGCAACGAUCAGUAGCCGACCUGAGAGGGUGAUCGGCCACAUUGGAACUGAGACACGGUCCAAACUCCUACGGGAGGCAGCAGUGGGGAAUAUUGCACAAUGGGCGAAAGCCUGAUGCAGCAACGCCGCGUGAGCGAUGAAGGCCUUCGGGUCGUAAAGCUCUGUCCUCAAGGAAGAUAAUGACGGUACUUGAGGAGGAAGCCCCGGCUAACCACGUGCCAGCAGCCGCGGUAAUACGUAGGGGGCUAGCGUUAUCCGGAUUUACUGGGCGUAAAGGGUGCGUAGGUGGUUUCUUAAGUCAGGAGUGAAAGGCUACGGCUUAACCGUAGUAAGCUCUUGAAACUGGGAAACUUGAGUGCAGGAGAGGAAAGUGGAAUUCCUAGUGUAGCGGUGAAAUGCGUAGAUAUUAGGAGGAACACCAGUAGCGAAGGCGGCUUUCUGGACUGUAACUGACACUGAGGCACGAAAGCGUGGGGAGCAAACAGGAUUAGAUACCCUGGUAGUCCACGCCGUAAACGAUGAGUACUAGGUGUCGGGGGUUACCCCCCUCGGUGCCGCAGCUAACGCAUUAAGUACUCCGCCUGGGGAGUACGCUCGCAAGAGUGAAACUCAAAGGAAUUGACGG
This 879-nucleotide ribosomal RNA is filed under the name uncultured bacterium. RNAcentral describes it as "bacterial SSU rRNA". It matches the Rfam family "Bacterial small subunit ribosomal RNA", at positions 8 to 916 of the family's 1533-position model. The record is from RNAcentral.